RNAcentral lists this transfer RNA (69 nucleotides) under Crypturellus strigulosus (brazilian tinamou). RNAcentral describes it as "partial tRNA-Lys". The record is from RNAcentral. Lineage: Eukaryota; Metazoa; Chordata; Aves; Tinamiformes; Tinamidae. RNAcentral also lists the same sequence under 1 other name.
CAUUAAGAAGCUAUGCUACAGCGCUAGCCUUUUAAGCUAGAAAGAGAGGCACCCCUUCCUCCUUAAUGA